RNAcentral lists this ribosomal RNA (891 nucleotides) under Verruciconidia persicina. RNAcentral's name for it is "LSU rRNA". It matches the Rfam family "Eukaryotic large subunit ribosomal RNA", at positions 37 to 964 of the family's 3401-position model. Lineage: Eukaryota; Fungi; Ascomycota; Sordariomycetes; Hypocreales; Bionectriaceae. The record is from RNAcentral.
AGCAUAUCAAUAAGCGGAGGAAAAGAAACCAACAGGGAUUGCCUCAGUAACGGCGAGUGAAGCGGCAACAGCUCAAAUUUGAAAUCUGGCCCUAGGCCCGAGUUGUAAUUUGCAGAGGAUGUUUCUGGCGAGGUGCCUUCCGAGUUCCCUGGAACGGGACGCCAUAGAGGGUGAGAGCCCCGUACGGUUGGUCGCUAAGCCUCUGUGAAACUCCUUCGACGAGUCGAGUAGUUUGGGAAUGCUGCUCUAAAUGGGAGGUAUACGUCUUCUAAAGCUAAAUACCGGCCAGAGACCGAUAGCGCACAAGUAGAGUGAUCGAAAGAUGAAAAGCACUUUGAAAAGAGGGUUAAAUAGUACGUGAAAUUGUUGAAAGGGAAGCGCUUAUGACCAGACUUGGACCGGUUGAUCAUCCAUCGUUCUCGGUGGUGCACUCUGCCGGUUCAGGCCAGCAUCAGUUUGCCCCGGGGGAUAAAGGCUUUGGGAAUGUGGCUCUUCGGAGUGUUAUAGCCCACUGCGUAAUACCCUGGGGUAGACUGAGGUUCGCGCUCCGCAAGGAUGCUGGCGUAAUGGUCAUCAGUGACCCGUCUUGAAACACGGACCAAGGAGUCGUCUUCGUAUGCGAGUGUUCGGGUGUCAAACCCCUACGCGUAAUGAAAGUGAACGUAGGAGAGAGCUUCGGCGCAUCUCCGACCGAUCCUGAUGUUCUCGGAUGGAUUUGAGUAAGAGCAUACGGGGCCGGACCCGAAAGAAGGUGAACUAUGCUUGUAUAGGGUGAAGCCAGAGGAAACUCUGGUGGAGGCUCGCAGCGGUUCUGACGUGCAAAUCGAUCGUCAAAUAUGAGCAUGGGGGGCGAAAGACUAAUCGAACCUUCUAGUAGCUGGUUUCCGCCGA